RNAcentral lists this ribosomal RNA (1192 nucleotides) under Buchananella hordeovulneris. RNAcentral describes it as "bacterial SSU rRNA". It matches the Rfam family "Bacterial small subunit ribosomal RNA", at positions 255 to 1441 of the family's 1533-position model. Lineage: Bacteria; Bacillati; Actinomycetota; Actinomycetes; Actinomycetales; Actinomycetaceae. The record is from RNAcentral.
GGGUGAUGGCCUACCAAGGCUUUGACGGGUAGCCGGCCUGAGAGGGUGACCGGUCACACUGGGACUGAGAUACGGCCCAGACUCCUACGGGAGGCAGCAGUGGGGAAUAUUGCACAAUGGGCGAAAGCCUGAUGCAGCGACGCCGCGUGAGGGAUGACGGCCUUCGGGUUGUAAACCUCUUUCAGUAAGGACGCAGGCCUAGGCUUUUGUUUGGGUUGACUUUACUUACAGAAGAAGCGCCGGCUAACUACGUGCCAGCAGCCGCGGUAAUACGUAGGGCGCAAGCGUUGUCCGGAAUUAUUGGGCGUAAAGAGCUCGUAGGCGGUUUGUCGCGUCUGUCGUGAAAACCCACAGCUUAACUGUGGGCUUGCGGUGGGUACGGGCAGGCUUGAGUGCGGUAGGGGAGACUGGAAUUCCUGGUGUAGCGGUGGAAUGCGCAGAUAUCAGGAGGAACACCGGUGGCGAAGGCGGGUCUCUGGGCCGUUACUGACGCUGAGGAGCGAAAGCAUGGGGAGCGAACAGGAUUAGAUACCCUGGUAGUCCAUGCCGUAAACGUUGGGCACUAGGUGUGGGGGCUGUUUCCAUGGUUCCUGCGCCGUAGCUAACGCAUUAAGUGCCCCGCCUGGGGAGUACGGUCGCAAGGCUAAAACUCAAAGGAAUUGACGGGGGCCCGCACAAGCGGCGGAGCAUGCGGAUUAAUUCGAUGCAACGCGAAGAACCUUACCAAGGCUUGACAUACAUCCAGAGUCUGCAGAGAUGUGGGCGCAUUUAGUUGGGGGUGUACAGGUGGUGCAUGGUUGUCGUCAGCUCGUGUCGUGAGAUGUUGGAGUUAAGUCCCGCAACGAGCGCAACCCUUGUCUCAUGUUGCCAGCACGUUAUGGUGGGGACUCGUGAGAGACUGCCGGGGUUAACUCGGAGGAAGGUGGGGAUGACGUCAAAUCAUCAUGCCCCUUAUGUCUUGGGCUUCACGCAUGCUACAAUGGCCAGUACAGAGGGUUGCGAUAUCGUAAGGUUGAGCGAAUCCCUUAAAGCUGGUCUCAGUUCGGAUUGGGGUCUGCAACUCGACCCCAUGAAGUCGGAGUCGCUAGUAAUCGCAGAUCAGCAACGCUGCGGUGAAUACGUUCUCGGGCCUUGUACACACCGCCCGUCACGUCACGAAAGUUGGUAACACCCGAAGCCCAUGGCCUAACCG